AAAAACAGAACUGGAAGAGAAAACUGAAUUACAAAUCACAAAAAAAUUAAAUAUUUAGGAAUAUGGCUGACAGCAAGAUGCUCAUCAAUAAAGGAAGAUAAUUACAAUAAGCUAAUGCAACAGACAAAGAAAGAUUUGGAAACUUGGGGAAA
Non-coding RNA from Notechis scutatus (mainland tiger snake), 152 nucleotides. NCBI's taxonomy places the organism in Eukaryota, Metazoa, Chordata, Lepidosauria, Squamata, Elapidae. The record is from RefSeq and is a predicted model, not a curated record.